This 353-nucleotide ribosomal RNA is filed under the name Phellodon sp. 352-363. RNAcentral's name for it is "eukaryotic LSU rRNA". The stretch from base 1 to 105 matches the Rfam family "5.8S ribosomal RNA", at positions 50 to 154 of the family's 154-position model. Lineage: Eukaryota; Fungi; Basidiomycota; Agaricomycetes; Thelephorales; Thelephoraceae. The record is from RNAcentral.
GAAAUGCGUUAAGUAAUGUGAAUUGCAGAAUUCAGUGAAUCAUCGAAUCUUUGAACGCACCUUGCGCCCCUUGGUAUUCCGAGGAGCAUGCCUGUUUGAGUGUCAUGAAAUUCUCAACUGCCUUUAUGGUGAAGUUGGAUUUGGAGGAUGUUUUGCUGGCGCUCUUUGGUGAGCUUCGUCGGCUCCUCUCGAAUGUAUAGGCCUUUCCGUAUGACAUUGUGAAGCGGCUCUGAUGUGAUAAUUAUCUCCGUUGGACGUCGUCGUUCGCUUUGAGUAUGGGGGUGGAUUGCGUGCGGUAAGGCACGCUUGACCAAUUCGACCUCAAAUCAGGUAGGACUACCCGCUGAACUUAA